Molecule: transfer RNA, 71 nt
Filed under: Marmota monax (woodchuck)
Lineage: Eukaryota; Metazoa; Chordata; Mammalia; Rodentia; Sciuridae
Description: tRNA.Ala
Source: RNAcentral
GGGGAUGUGGCUCAGCAGUAGAGCGCUGGCCUAGCGUGUGCAAGACACUGGGUUCGAUCCUCAGCACCCCA